CAGGCCUAACACAUGCAAGUCGAGCGCAGUCCUUCGGGACCGAGCGGCGGACGGGUUAGUAACGCGUGGGAACAUACCCUUUUCUACGGAAUAGCCUCGGGAAACUGAGAGUAAUACCGUAUAAGCCCUUCGGGGGAAAGAUUUAUCGGGAAAGGAUUGGCCCGCGUUAGAUUAGAUAGUUGGUGGGGUAAUGGCCUACCAAGUCUACGAUCUAUAGCUGGUUUUAGAGGACGAUCAGCAACACUGGGACUGAGACACGGCCC
RNAcentral lists this ribosomal RNA (263 nucleotides) under Haptolina ericina. RNAcentral's name for it is "partial Bacterial small subunit ribosomal RNA". It matches the Rfam family "Bacterial small subunit ribosomal RNA", at positions 43 to 332 of the family's 1533-position model. The record is from RNAcentral. Lineage: Eukaryota; Haptophyta; Prymnesiales; Prymnesiaceae.